UGGGGAAUCUUGCGCAAUGGCCGAAAGGCUGACGCAGCGACGCCGCGUGUGGGAGGACGCCUUUCGGGGUGUAAACCACUGUUGCCCGGGACGAACACUGAGUUUCGACUCAGCUGACGGUACCGGGUGAGGAAGCACCGGCUAACUCCGUGCCAGCAGCCGCGGUAAUACGGAGGGUGCGAGCGUUGUCCGGAAUCAUUGGGCGUAAAGGGCGCGUAGGUGGCCGUGGUCAGCGUGCGGUGAAAGCUCGGGGCUCAACCCCGAGUCGGCCGUGCGAACUGCCGGGCUUGAGCACUGUAGAGACAGGCGGAAUUCCGGGUGUAGCGGUGGAAUGCGUAGAGAUCCGGAAGAACACCGGUGGCGAAGGCGGCCUGCUGGGCAGUGGCUGACACUGAGGCGCGACAGCGUGGGGAGCAAAC
Molecule: ribosomal RNA, 419 nt
Filed under: uncultured bacterium
Lineage: Bacteria
Description: bacterial SSU rRNA
Rfam family: Bacterial small subunit ribosomal RNA
Source: RNAcentral